RNAcentral lists this unclassified non-coding RNA (24 nucleotides) under Mus musculus (house mouse). RNAcentral describes it as "oocyte_clustered_small_RNA4774". The record is from RNAcentral. Lineage: Eukaryota; Metazoa; Chordata; Mammalia; Rodentia; Muridae.
UAGCAAUCCCGUAGGCACUUGAGU